RNAcentral lists this ribosomal RNA (496 nucleotides) under uncultured bacterium. RNAcentral's name for it is "partial 16S ribosomal RNA". It matches the Rfam family "Bacterial small subunit ribosomal RNA", at positions 28 to 506 of the family's 1533-position model. The record is from RNAcentral.
GAUGAACGCUGGCGGCGUGCCUAAUACAUGCAAGUCGAGCGAACAGACGAGGAGCUUGCUCCUCUGACGUUAGCGGCGGACGGGUGAGUAACACGUGGAUAACCUACCUAUAAGACUGGGAUAACUUCGGGAAACCGGAGCUAAUACCGGAUAAUAUAUUGAACCGCAUGGUUCAAUAGUGUAAGACGGUUUUGCUGUCACUUAUAGAUGGAUCCGCGCCGCAUUAGCUAGUUGGUAAGGUAACGGCUUACCAAGGCAACGAUGCGUAGCCGACCUGAGAGGGUGAUCGGCCACACUGGAACUGAGACACGGUCCAGACUCCUACGGGAGGCAGCAGUAGGGAAUCUUCCGCAAUGGGCGAAAGCCUGACGGAGCAACGCCGCGUGAGUGAUGAAGGUCUUCGGAUCGUAAAACUCUGUUAUUAGGGAAGAACAAAUGUGUAAGUAACUAUGCACGUCUUGACGGUACCUAAUCAGAAAGCCACGGCUAACUACGU